This 421-nucleotide ribosomal RNA is filed under the name uncultured Bacteroidota bacterium. RNAcentral describes it as "bacterial SSU rRNA". It matches the Rfam family "Bacterial small subunit ribosomal RNA", at positions 356 to 774 of the family's 1533-position model. The record is from RNAcentral. Lineage: Bacteria; Pseudomonadati; Bacteroidota.
GAGGAAUAUUGGUCAAUGGGCGCAAGCCUGAACCAGCCAUCCCGCGUGAAGGAAGAAGGCCCUACGGGUUGUAAACUUCUUUUCUGUUUGAAGAAUAAGCUCGUCGAGACGAGUGAUGCCGGUAGGACAGGAAUAAGCAUCGGCUAACUCCGUGCCAGCAGCCGCGGUAAUACGGAGGAUGCAAGCGUUAUCCGGAUUUAUUGGGUUUAAAGGGUGCGCAGGUGGUUUAAUAAGUCAGUGGUGAAAGUCUGGCGCUUAACGUUAGGAUUGCCAUUGAUACUGUUAGACUUGAAUAUGGAUGAGGUAGGCGGAAUGUGUAGUGUAGCGGUGAAAUGCUUAGAUAUUACACAGAACACCGAUUGCGAAGGCAGCUUACUAAUCCAUCAUUGACGCUGAGGCACGAAAGCGUGGGGAUCAAACA